RNAcentral lists this transfer RNA (71 nucleotides) under Lepidozona coreanica. RNAcentral's name for it is "tRNA-Asp". The record is from RNAcentral. Lineage: Eukaryota; Metazoa; Mollusca; Polyplacophora; Chitonida; Ischnochitonidae.
AAGAAAUUAGUUAAUUUAAAAUAAUAAAAACUUGUCAAGUUUUAGUCACUAUAUCCCAUUAGUAUUUCUUA